GAUGAAUAACGUAGCGAAAUGCGAUAAGUAAUGUGAAUUGCAGAAUUCAGUGAAUCAUCGAAUCUUUGAACGCACAUUGCGCCCGCCAGUAUUCUGGCGGGCAUGCCUGUCCGAGCGUCAUUUCAACCCUCAAGCCCCCGGGCUUGGUGUUGGAGAUCGGCGAGCCCCCCGGGGCGCGCCGUCUCCCAAAUAUAGUGGCGGUCCCGCUGUAGCUUCCUCUGCGUAGUAGCACACCUCGCACUGGGAAACAGCGUGGCCACGCCGUAAAACCCCCCACUUCUGAAAGGUUGACCUCGGAUCAGGUAGGAAUACCCGCUGAACUUAAGCAUAUCAAUAAGCGGAGGA
This 345-nucleotide unclassified non-coding RNA is filed under the name soil metagenome. Its description in RNAcentral is "partial contains 5.8S ribosomal RNA, internal transcribed spacer 2, and large subunit ribosomal RNA". The stretch from base 1 to 120 matches the Rfam family "5.8S ribosomal RNA", at positions 35 to 154 of the family's 154-position model. The record is from RNAcentral.